UUGGAGGGCAAGUCUGGUGCCAGCAGCCGCGGUAAUUCCAGCUCCAAUAGCGUAUAUUAAAGUUGCUGCAGUUAAAAAGCUCGUAGUUGAAUUUCGGGACUAUAUGUCGGUCGUGCCUCGGUACGUACUGGUAUUGUUGGUUUCUCCCUUCUGACGAACCAUGAUGUCAUUUAUUUGGUGUUGUGGGGAAUCAGGACUGUUACUUUGAAAAAAUUAGAGUGUUUAAAGCAAGCUAACGCUUGAAUACAUUAGCAUGGAAUAAUGAAAUAGGACGUUCGAUCCUAUUUUGUUGGUUUCUAGGAUUGACGUAAUGAUUAAUAGGGAUAGUUGGGGGCAUUAGUAUUCAAUUGUCGGAGGUGAAAUUCUUGGAUUUAUUGAAGACUAACUACUGCGAAAGCAUUUGCCAAGGAUGUUUUCAUUAAUCAAGAACGAAAGUUAGGGGAUCGAAGACGAUCAGAUACCGUCGUAGUCUUAACCAUAAACUAUGCCGACUAGGGAUCGGAUGAUGUUAAUUUUUUAAUGACUCAUUCGGCGCCUUACGGGAAACCAAAGUGUUUGGGUUC
This 563-nucleotide ribosomal RNA is filed under the name uncultured Glomeromycotina. Its description in RNAcentral is "SSU rRNA". It matches the Rfam family "Eukaryotic small subunit ribosomal RNA", at positions 548 to 1114 of the family's 1831-position model. The record is from RNAcentral. Lineage: Eukaryota; Fungi; Glomeromycota.